Molecule: ribosomal RNA, 425 nt
Filed under: uncultured bacterium
Lineage: Bacteria
Description: bacterial SSU rRNA
Rfam family: Bacterial small subunit ribosomal RNA
Source: RNAcentral
UAGGGAAUUUUCCACAAUGGGCGAAAGCCUGAUGGAGCAACGCCGCGUGCAGGAUGAAGGUCUUCGGAUUGUAAACUGCUUUUAUAUGUGACGAAUAUGACGGUAGCAUAUGAAUAAGGAUCGGCUAACUCCGUGCCAGCAGCCGCGGUCAUACGGGGGAUCCAAGCGUUAUCCGGAAUUACUGGGCGUAAAGAGUUGCGUAGGUGGCAUUGUAAGUUGGUAGUGAAAGCGUUCGGCUCAACCGAAUAAACAUUACCAAAACUGCAAAGCUAGAGGAUGAGAGAGGUUAUUGGAAUUGCUAGUGUAGGAGUGAAAUCCGUAGAUAUUAGCAGGAACACCGAUGGCGUAGGCAGAUAACUGGCUCAUUCCUGACACUAAGGCACGAAAGCGUGGGGAGCAAACGGGAUUAGAUACCCGGGUAGUCC